CAAAUUCCUUUUCAACAUUUGUUGUAUAACAUGUCCCAGAAUAUAUGGAUCCAUUUUUCAGGUGAACUUCCACAGGGUGCCCGAUAAGACAUGUUGACAAAUAUACCAGCCGAUCACGAGAAGGACUCUCAUAAAUUCCAACUUUGGUACCAACCAUUGAUUUUCCAGAUUGCAGCUUAUUCUCCAAUCUUGCCCCGCCUUCCCUUUCAGCUCUUCGACGACCAAAUCCAUUAGCAUAAGCUUUGGGCUGUGCAGCCUGUUGCAAACUCAUCUUGACAACA
This 281-nucleotide unclassified non-coding RNA is filed under the name Hevea brasiliensis (rubber tree). The record is from RNAcentral. Lineage: Eukaryota; Viridiplantae; Streptophyta; Magnoliopsida; Malpighiales; Euphorbiaceae.